CCUACCCGGGAAGCUCCUACGGAGGACCAGCCACCGCCCUUGAACUCACUGGGGCCUGAAGCUUCCCCUGGCCAACACAAAGCCCUGCUGCAGGAGGAGACCAAAGAGCCCAAGGAGACAAUGUACCUGGAGACCUGUAGGAGACCCCAACUCUCGACUCUGUAAGAAACAACCUGGGGGGAGUGAUGGACUGGUACCUGGCCCCCCGGUUGGCCACCCCCGGCUUAGGACAAAGGUGUGUGCAGACACGUCAUGCAUGUCAUCGCAGAGAGACAGCGCUGAGCAGGAGAAUGAGAGCAGAUAAGGAGAGUCCAGGGAAAGAGAUUGAGCUUUUGUUCAGGGAGGAUAAUUACUGGUAAAGAGAACAAAUGGGGAGUUCAAAUGCAAGAUUGUGGACAUACUUAUGUUGUGGUUACAGUAAAAAAAAUUGACUAACAA
Molecule: long non-coding RNA, 438 nt
Organism: Mauremys reevesii (Reeves's turtle)
Lineage: Eukaryota; Metazoa; Chordata; Testudines; Geoemydidae
Exons: 2
Source: RefSeq, a predicted model, not a curated record